Molecule: ribosomal RNA, 481 nt
Filed under: uncultured bacterium
Lineage: Bacteria
Description: partial 16S ribosomal RNA
Rfam family: Bacterial small subunit ribosomal RNA
Source: RNAcentral
GAUGAACGCUGGCGGCGUGCUUAACACAUGCAAGUCGAACGAAGCACUUUAUUUGAUUUCCUUCGGGACUGAUUAUUUUGUGACUGAGUGGCGGACGGGUGAGUAACGCGUGGGUAACCUGCCUUGUACAGGGGGAUAACAGUUGGAAACGGCUGCUAAUACCGCAUAAGCGCACAGCAUCGCAUGAUGCAGUGUGAAAAACUCCGGUGGUAUAAGAUGGACCCGCGUUGGAUUAGCUAGUUGGUGAGGUAACGGCCCACCAAGGCGACGAUCCAUAGCCGACCUGAGGGGGUGACCGGCCACAUUGGGACUGAGACACGGCCCAAACUCCUACGGGAGGCAGCAGUGGGGAAUAUUGCACAAUGGGCGAAAGCCUGAUGCGGCGACGCCGCGUGAGCGAAGAAGUAUUUCGGUAUGUAAAGCUCUAUCAGCAGGGAAGAUAAUGACGGUACCUGACUAAGAAGCACCGGCUAAAUACGUG